CUGUAAAUUAAAUUAAAAAUAUUUUAGUGUAAAGUAAAUUUCUGUAAAUUAAAUAAAAAAUAUUGCUUCCCAUUGUCACGUGACUUCUAACGUCAUCCAUGGUAGUGCGUGAGGACGUUCAGCUUUCCGCCAUCUUGUUACACCGCAUGGAUGAACUCGGCGUGGUAAAACUGGAAUCAAGAAAAUUGGAUGGGGUACUGCUGAAAAACUAUUAGGACAUGUUUUUGAAAAAUCCAGUCACAUGAAAAACAAUCUGUUGGCAUGUCGGGAAGAAGAUCUGCCAAGCUUUUGGUGAUUGCUGACCAGAGGGAGGAAGCAGUGAGAGAAUUUGAAAAGACCACCAUGGCAUUUUUUUGUGAUCCGUGAAAGUGAUGCUCUUAGUUGUGCACUGGACAUUUCCAUUGUCAUGGAUGGUGUGGAAGUAGUAAAUGAGUUGCCCUCUGUUGCAUGUGCCUGUUCCAUAAUGUUUGGACUCAUUUAUGCACUGAACUUGAAAUAUCCUGAAGGACUCAAAUAUACAUUUGAGGCCUUUCAAAAAAUAUUCAUGGACAUAGAGAGUAAGCAGAUGAGCCGAAGGGUGCAGAACUUCUCUUUAAAGUUGCAGGAGUAAAUUUGUUUCCUUUGACCCAGCUACAGUGUUCUGCUGAUGGUAAAUUUCUUUGAAGAUGUUGGACUGUAUAAAGCCUUUCAUACAAAGUCAACUGUACUAUUGUUUACUAAACUUGAUUUGUUUUAUCUUGGUUAAGUUGUGUUUUAUCUAGGGUAAGUUAAAUAGUUUUUAAGUUCUUACGUUGUUUACUCAUCCUUAAGCUAUUCAAGUAUUUAACUUUAAUUAAAUUUGGUACAGAGACAUUUUAUGACAAUUAUGAGAUAAGUUUUAUUUUUGGGUAAAUUAUUCCAUGAAGGUGAAAAGACAUUUUAUUUUUUCUUUCUACCAUUGGCUAAUUUGGUGUUUUAUUAAAAGUGUUUAGUUUUACACCGCCCAUUUUAAAGCAGUUUUUUGGGCCAAACUUGUUUUAACUUCAGAAGAAUUCUAAAUGUUUGAUUGUUUUGUCAGUUCUAAGUGACUGUUCAUGGAAAGAUUACAGAAUUCCUAAGGUUUUGAUUGUGUAAGUCUGUUCCGAUUGACUGUUCAUGGAAAGAUUGCAUGUUUCUCUUCGAAACCAUAACUGAUUCUUUUGGUGAUUUUACAUUGUAUCCAGUGUUUCUAUGUAUAUGGAUACUAAAAACUGUUACAGUAUGUGUUUUUAUAACAAUACUAUACAUGUUGUAGAAAUGUUUUAUGACAAAUUGUCAGGUUAAUAACUUUUACAUUGUUAGGCAGUGUGAAUGUGUA
Long non-coding RNA from Megalobrama amblycephala (Wuchang bream), 1336 nucleotides. RefSeq lists it as uncharacterized. The transcript has 4 exons. The record is from RefSeq and is a predicted model, not a curated record. Lineage: Eukaryota; Metazoa; Chordata; Actinopteri; Cypriniformes; Xenocyprididae.